This is a non-coding RNA of Phascolarctos cinereus (koala), 992 nucleotides long. The record is from RefSeq and is a predicted model, not a curated record. NCBI's taxonomy places the organism in Eukaryota, Metazoa, Chordata, Mammalia, Diprotodontia, Phascolarctidae.
AAUUAUGGCCCCCCUCUUUUAUGGAGGAAUGUUGAUCACAUGAAGGAAACUCUUGUAUGCUUCCAGUGAACCUUCUCCAAAACAAAGUUAAAGAAACAAAUAGACCCACAAGCUGAGCAAGAAAUCUUUAUCUGAGCUAAUACUCAGAAUGAUUAAUGAAAACACACGCAAGCCAUCUGUUAUCCUUCUUCACCAUGUGGAUCUGUGGACAGAUUGGUGGAUGAUAACCUCCAAAGGCUCAUUGCUUUGUUUUCGCUUGUUUGUUUUAAUAAGGAAGGCAUUCCUGAAGUCCUUGUCAAGUCUGUCAAAGAGGAUUACCUGAGUAUCCCAGAGUUUAACCCAGAACUUUCAUCCACAGAAUCAUCAGCAUCUCCCAGACUUUUUACUAGGAUUUUUGAUAUUAUUCAGUUCCACAAGCACUCCCAAUGACAAGCAUCUGGAGCUGUGGUGACCUGCUGCUGCUUCUGCCAGACAAAUUUGGGUGAAUUAAUCUCUCUCCAUGCAGCUUUGCACCAGUGUGUGUCUGCUGAAGAUUGAACCUUUUCUUUCCUUGUCCCAGAAGAGGCUUCCCUGUUGGACUGAGGUUUGGAGCUUUGUAUAAUCAAAAGAGUUUGAUUAAAUAGGACCCAGUUCUCCUUCAUGCCAUUGCAUUAUUUGACCUGGGAAAACAGCCGUGUGACAGAACAACCUGAUCUGUUUCUGUGUGGGCUGACAAAGGACUGAGCACACCGUUGAUUUCAAGCUACGUUACAUCUCCAAGUUGCAAAGCCAGUCAUAAAAGCUAGCAAGAAAAGCAUAUCAGUAGGUGAAUAUUUCUCACAGGCAGAGGCCACUCUGCCUCUGACAGGACUGUUGUUGUUUCCACUGGGAGGUUUAAACUACUUAGGGACAGCAACCUUUUCGACAGAAAAUCAUGCCUGAGCUGUUUUUUUUUAAGAGAUAAUAUCAGGAAAGACUGCUUUUCAGACAUCUAACCCAUAAUAUGUAUAGAG